Molecule: ribosomal RNA, 231 nt
Filed under: uncultured bacterium
Lineage: Bacteria
Description: partial 16S ribosomal RNA
Rfam family: Bacterial small subunit ribosomal RNA
Source: RNAcentral
UGGGCAACCUGCCCUUAGCUCUGGGAUAACCCCGGGGAAACCGGGGCUAAUACCGGAUAUGAGUUCGUGCGGCAUCACACGGACUGGAAAGUUUUUCGGCUAAGGAUGGGCUCGCGGCCUAUCAGCUUGUUGGUGGGGUAAUGGCCUACCAAGGCGACGACGGGUAGCCGGCCUGAGAGGGCGACCGGCCACACUGGGACUGAGACUCGGCCCAGACUCCUACGGGAGGCA